RNAcentral lists this ribosomal RNA (253 nucleotides) under uncultured bacterium. Its description in RNAcentral is "partial 16S ribosomal RNA". It matches the Rfam family "Bacterial small subunit ribosomal RNA", at positions 524 to 776 of the family's 1533-position model. The record is from RNAcentral.
UACGGAGGGUGCAAGCGUUAAUCGGAAUCACUGGGCGUAAAGCGCGCGUAGGUGGCUAUUUAAGUCAGAUGUGAAAGCCCUGGGCUCAACCUGGGAAUGGCAUUUGAUACUGGAUAGCUAGAGUAUGGUAGAGGUGAGUGGAAUUUCACGUGUAGCAGUGAAAUGCGUAGAUAUGUGGAGGGAUACCGAUGGCGAAGGCAGCCCCCUGGGUCGAUACUGACGCUCAUGCACGAAAGCGUGGGGAGCAAACAGG